CAGUCGCCGCGGGAAUACGUAGGGUGCAAGCGUUAAUCGGAAUUACUGGGCGUAAAGCGUGCGCAGGCGGCUUCUUAAGUCGGAUGUGAAAUCCCUGAGCUUAACUUAGGAAUUGCAUUCGAUACUGGGAAGCUAGAGUAUGGGAGAGGAUGGUAGAAUUCCAGGUGUAGCGGUGAAAUGCGUAGAGAUCUGGAGGAAUACCGAUGGCGAAGGCAGCCAUCUGGCCUAAUACUGACGCUGAGGUACGAAAGCAUGGGGAGCAAACAGGAUUAGAUACCCCCGUAGUCCCUGUCUCUUAUAC
RNAcentral lists this ribosomal RNA (301 nucleotides) under uncultured bacterium. RNAcentral describes it as "partial 16S ribosomal RNA". It matches the Rfam family "Bacterial small subunit ribosomal RNA", at positions 509 to 807 of the family's 1533-position model. The record is from RNAcentral.